Molecule: RNA transcript, 1727 nt
Organism: Carassius gibelio (silver crucian carp)
Lineage: Eukaryota; Metazoa; Chordata; Actinopteri; Cypriniformes; Cyprinidae
Gene name: cardiac phospholamban
Exons: 3
Source: RefSeq, a predicted model, not a curated record
GACCCCUCCUACGCAUCUCUUUUCUUUCCCUCUCCUCCUAUACUCUACCCCUCCACUUUUUCUGCCAUAAACUUCCGAACACCACAUUGCUGCCACAGACCCUUCUUUCCUCUAAAACCAGAGCAACAGGACUGAACCCCAAUCCUCUCCAUCUACAGCUUAGCCUCCACAUCCACUGGCAACCGGAUCACCUCCUUCAUCACCACAACAACUAGCACUCCUUUCUCCUCACUUCGCGGUUCUUCUGUCCUUCCUUCCUCUCUCCUCUCUCUGCACUAAUCGUCCCCCCCACUGCGCCUCGGCAUGGAGAAGGUGCAGCACAUGACACGGGAGGCCAUUCGGCGGGCGUCCAUCAUGGAGGUCCCCCAGCAGGCCAAGCAAAACACACAGGAGCUCUUCGUCAACUUCUGCCUCAUCCUCAUCUGCCUGCUGCUCAUCUACAUCAUUGUCUUGCUAAUGUGAGCGGGAGGGGCCACAGGUUUCCCUCUAGCCAAUGAGGGCAGAGGACUGUACAGAGGAGCCAAUCGCGUUGAAGGCUCCUUCCACGGCAUGUGAGAGACCACUGGCAAACAAGAACCACCUCCAGUUGGGGCCGAACACACGACGCCACAGCUGAACACGGACAACCCUGCAAAUCGCCAUCCCAUCACUAUGGAUCUGAUCAAUAACCGAGGACUAAACCUGCUGCUCAACUUCCUGUUUAUUGUAGUGGCCCUACUGCUCAUGCUCAUUCUGGUCAAGCUCAUGUGAUGCCAAAAUGGCCAGAAACAAGAGUAAUGGGUAUGAGAGAGACGUAUGUUUCAGAGACUCCUACUCUCUCGACCUUCAAAACCAUUUUCAAGGUGCCUUACAUGACAUUAGACUGACUUCCACACCAGACAGGCAGAGAACGUUUCUGAUUGGCUAGUUUCCUGAUGUAGUUCCCUAUUUUACUAAAUGCUUUAGUCACAGAGACUUGAAAUAUUACAAGUCUCUGGGAAGGUGUAAAGCACUUAGUAUUACACAAUAUAUAUUUCGCUCAUUUGAAUCAAAUAGUAGGGACGUUCUGAAAGUCUGGUGUUAAAAAUGGUCAGUUAAAACACCGUUAACCUACAAUACACGCUUUGCUCAAGCUUAAUGGAGGAGUAAGGGAAAUACUAAAAACCGAUUGCCACCACAUCAAUCUCAAAUAAGUAAAACAUUCUUUAAAAUUCAAAACUUGAUAACAGAUCAAAAAUGCUGCUAUAUUUGAGUUCAAAAUAAUCUAAAGCUUUAAAACAGCGAGAGGAAGAAGAUGCAUGCUUUGCUUCCCUCUAGUGGUCGCUUACUCUUACUGCGUUCAAAAAUAACAACACAAUCCCAUGAGAUUUAAGUACAUGGUUAAAUGAAGUACAGUGGAAAAUAUAGGUGAGCUUUCAAAUCACACAACACCACUGACACUAUAGAUUAUUACAUAUACAAUUUACUUUUUUUUUCAGAAAUAAAAGUUGUGCAUUCCUUAUAAGAUGUAUUUCAUAAAUUGAAGGACACGGUUGUCCUUUUAAUAAGAAUACACACUGGUCUGCCUAUAAUUUAAUCCAAAGAUGUAAUCUUUAUAUAUUAUUCAUACAAUCACUGUGUUGUUGUUAAUAUCUGUGUGAAAAUAUUUAUGUAAUAAUACUCAUAAAUGGAAAGGAAUAACUGUGCAGUGCAGGCAGUUUGGACAAAUAAAGCAAGCACUGCAAAUAAAACACUUGCACUGUUGACAA